RNAcentral lists this unclassified non-coding RNA (4524 nucleotides) under Hevea brasiliensis (rubber tree). Lineage: Eukaryota; Viridiplantae; Streptophyta; Magnoliopsida; Malpighiales; Euphorbiaceae. The record is from RNAcentral.
GGUUUUCAAAGCAGUGGCCUUGAGAGGAAAUGGAGGAAUUAGCUCCUUCAAUAUGUAAUAUAGGGAUUUUGGAUACGCUAAGCGACGACUUGAUCAAUGAAAUUCUCGGGGACUACGCCGGAUUCUGUGCCGCCACUACAGCUCUUCUUAACGGCGCUGGUGAUAUCUCCGUGACGCCGGAGUUCGUGUCUCAUGUGCACUCGCUCUGCAAGCAUGGCCUUGGCUCUCUCGUUAACGAUUACUUCCUCAAGUCGUUGGAGGAAACAUUUGAGAAGAAUGGCAGUUCAAAAUUUUGGCAGCAUUUUGAUGCUUAUAGCAAUAUAGCAACUCUGGGGAAGCAUGAAACUCCUAUAUUUUACCAUGAGCUGCAGCAACUUUUGUGCAGAGCUCUUGAAGAGAUAUCCUCCGAGAAACAGUAUCAGGGGAAGUGCCUGUUAGUCUUAGUUCAUGCCUUGCAGUCUUACAAGGAGUGCUCAUCUGAGGAAAAACAUAAUUCAAAUGCUCAAAAAUCAUAUCUAUUUUCAAGGUAUCAGUUAAUGGUAUCUUCAGUUCUUAUGGCCAGCAUUCCUCGACAUUUUCCCGAAAUACUACACUGGUAUUUUAAGGGAAGGCUCGAGGAGCUGAGUACUAUCAUGGAGGGAGAGUUUAAUGGUGAUGGUGAUACUCCAGAUAAAGAUGACAUGGAUUUAGAUGAAAAAAGCAAACUGUCUUGUAGAAAUGGUGAAAUGGAAAUUGAUGAAUGCUUUCUUGAAGGUAGAUUCACAGAGAACAACAAGUUGGUGAAGAACAUUGGGAAAAUCGUUCGAGACCUCAGAAAUCUUGGAUUUACUUCUAUGACUGAAGAUGCCUAUGCUUCUGCCGUCUUUUUACUUUUGAAGCCUUUCAUGUCUUACUGUCACAUUUCUCAUUGUCAUCUAUGCUACUCAGGCUAAAGUGCAUGAUCUGGCUGGUGAUGAUUACAGGGCUUCUGUGCUGGAGUCCAUUAAAGGAUGGAUACAGGUUCCCUUCUUUACUUGUUUAUCAUUUCUAUUUCUUUCAGCCUGUAGAAUGAAUGGAUAAUAGAUGCCUUUACUUAUUCGUGGUUUAUCUUCAGUGAUUUCAUCCGCAUAUUGCGUUAAAUUGGCAGACAAUGGCUGCCCUUUACACUAAUGACUUUACUAUAUUUGUACCCAUUUACGAUUUAAACCAUGAUUGCUGGGGCAUUGAGCCCAGAGAAUGUCAUGUACAAGAGUCUAAUAUUUUGUUAUUAUACCAACAAGAAUAUGAUAUCAUUGAUUGAACAUUUUUAGCAUGAUGCUAUAAAGUUUGAACUGUAUUAUUCUAUUAUUAUUCUUGUAUCAAUAUUAUUAACGAAGAAGACGGAGGACCUAUUGUAAAUUCCAAUUGUCCUUGUGUUUAUGUGCAAAAUUGAAUGCUUUCUAUAUAAGCAUUCAAUAUCAUGCAAUCUCAUGAAGUGCCUUCGUAUCAUUGUUGACACUUCUUCAAAUUGUUUAGUUCUCUAGAUGUUAUGUUCUCUCUAUACUGUUUGGUCUAUGUUCCUGUGUUACUCAUGGAUGAUUCCUUGGAGAUAUAUUCUACAGGCUGUGCCUCUCCAGUUCUUGCAUGCACUUCUUGCUUAUCUUGGCGAUUCUGUUAGCUGUGAUAGCCCUUCCCCCGGUAUCAAAUCACCUUUGGCUUCUCAUCCAUCACCUUGUAACACUCCUUCUGAAGGGCUUAUUAGAUGGCAGUUGCGGCUAGAGUAUUUUGCCUAUGAAACAUUGCAAGAUCUGAGAAUAGCCAAACUAUUUGAGAUAAUAGUGGACUAUCCUGACAGCUCCCCUGCGAUUGAGGACUUAAAACAGUGCCUUGAAUAUACUGGACAACAUUCUAAGUUGGUUGAGUCAUUCAUUUCUUCACUGAGAUAUCGCUUACUCACUGCGGGUGCCUCAACCAAUGACAUACUGCAUCAGUAUGUUUCAACUAUUAAAGCACUGCGUACUAUUGAUCCUGCUGGUGUCUUUCUUGAAGCAGUUGGUGAGCCAAUAAGAGAUUAUUUAAGGGGUAGGAAAGACACCAUAAAGUGCAUUGUAACCAUGCUAACUGAUGGGACUGGGGGGAACCCAAAUGGAUCUGGAAUUACUGGGGAUAGCCUUCUUGAGGAAUUAAAUAGAGAUGAGGAAAGUCAAGAAAAUGCUGUUGCUGAUGAUGACUUCCACACUGAUGACAAGCAAGCAUGGAUCAACGCUUUACGCUGGGAGCCUGAUCCCAUAGAGGCUGAUCCAUCAAAGGGCAGUAGGACUCAAAGGAAGGUUGACAUACUGGGGAUGAUUGUUGGCAUAAUUGGUUCGAAAGACCAACUUGUUAAUGAAUAUCGUGUGAUGCUUGCUGAAAAGCUUCUCAACAAAUCUGAUUAUGACAUUGACUCAGAGAUAAGAACUUUGGAACUUCUCAAGAUACAUUUUGGAGACAGCAGUAUGCAGAGGUGUGAAAUUAUGCUUAAUGAUUUGAUUGAUUCCAAGAGAACAAACCAUAAUAUCAAAGCAACAAUACAGUCAACUCAAACAGGACAAGAGCAGCAAGAAACAGGAGUAUCUCUGGAUGUUCUUGAUGCCACCAUUAUAUCCUCAAAUUUUUGGCCUCCAAUCCAGGACGAAGCACUUAAUGUACCUGAGCCUGUUGAAAAACUGCUCACUGAUUAUGCCAAUAGGUUUCACGAAAUCAAGACUCCUCGUAAGUUACUUUGGAAGAAAAAUCUUGGCACUGUGAAGCUGGAGUUGCAAUUUGAAGAUAGAGCAAUGCCGUUUACAGUAUCACCUGUACAUGCUGCAAUUAUCAUGCAAUUUCAAGAUCACACGAGUUGGACCGCAAGUAAGCUUGCAUCUGCUAUUGGGGUACCAGUGGAUGUACUCAAUCGAAGGAUAAAUUUUUGGAUAAGUAAGGGAAUUCUUGCCGAAUCAGUUGGGGCAAAUGCUAAUGAUCAUGUAUUUAUCCUUGUGGAAGGCAUGGUUGAUGCUAGUAAGAAUGGUGGUAACAGUGGGAGUUGUGAGGAACUGCUAGUUGGUGAUGAGGAGGGAGAGAGAUCUGUAGCCUCUGUUGAGGACCAAAUUCGCAAGGAAAUGACUGUGUAUGAGGUAUGUGAUACGAUGUAAAUUUUCUGGGUAAUCAUUGUUAUUUAUGAAUGCAUAUUUUGAGUAUUGUUUUAAACUGUUGUGAGAAUAUUUAUUAAUUUGUUCUUGUUACAAUUCAUCCUUCGAAGAUUGUUUUCAAAAUUAGCUUCUUUGUUUUCAAAAUUAGCUUCUUGCAUCUGCUGGGGGUUGAUUGAUUCUGAUUUUACUAAUCUGACUAACGUUAUAUGGCUACAUUCCCUGUCAUCAAAGCCACUGUUAGAAUUGGAAAGUUCUAACAGUUUGCCUCAUUGAUAUUUGUAUUUAGGAGGGGAUUUAAUUUGAUUUAGUUGCUCCAAUCCUCGCAGUUUGUUGCAGUAACAAUACGUUCUUAGUUAAAACAUUAGUUCUAGACAGUAUGAAGAAGUAUGUCAGGUUGUUCUAUUUGAGGUGUAAAAUGGGUUUGGGAUGGCUAUGGAGCAACUGCUGGGUAACUCAUUGGUCAAGUAAGAAAUAUCGGAAAAAAGAAAAUCUGGAUUUUGUUGUGCAUGUGGAGUUUGACAAUUUUUUAAGUCUCGCAUGUUCUCUCUUUUCUAAAGGGCAUUUGGCUUCUUGUAGAAAUUUAUAAUGGGGAUGCUCACUAAUUUCGGCAGCAUGGCAUUGGAUCGCAUCCACAACACUCUCAAGAUGUUUUGUGUAGCUGAUCCUCCUUAUGACAAGUCACUCCAGCAGCUGCAAAGCUUUUUAUCAGGUUUAGUUUCUGAAGAGAAGUUAGAAUUGAGAGAUGGAAUGUACUUCUUGAAGAAGUAACGAUCCGAUAUGAUCAUAAUUCGUCAUACUUCAUAACCAGUGCAAGUGAGUUUUGUUUUAUAACUGUAUCAUAGACCAUGCACCAUAACUAUCACAAUAUCAUCAUCAUCAUCAUCUAUCUAGUGUGGUUUCACUGCCUUGUUAGUGUUUCUCCUUAAUUGGAAGAUAUUGCUUUCUAGUGGGAGUUUUUGGUAACAAGCAACCUAGGUUUUGGCCUGGUAAAUAUAGCUGGAUGAUGAUGGAGAUAUCUGUUGGAGAGUUUUGAUGUGAUCAUCAGCAACACUAACUAGCCUUCUGACUAAUAUUCUCUUCCUGCGGUGCUAAGUGCUUCUGUUGUGCAAGGUGGAGCAAAUUAUGAGAUCUUUUCAUGGAUUGCAAAGGUGAGCGUCCUUCCUAAGAAUGCUUUCCCAUAUUCUCAUCACAAGAUGGUACUUUCUGCAGAUCAUAUAGACGUAGAUCUAUUGGUCAUAUGUAAAUGUUUUCUUAGGGCUGCAGAGAUUUCAAUUAGUCUCCGUUCACUUUUGUCACGUAUCUAUGUGUUGAAUGUGUUGGAUUAUGAUAAGUUGUUGAGCAGAUACAAUUUUGUGUGACAUUAAAUCUUUCCAAUGGAAUUUGCAUGUGGAAAUCAUUA